This 510-nucleotide ribosomal RNA is filed under the name uncultured bacterium. RNAcentral's name for it is "partial 16S ribosomal RNA". It matches the Rfam family "Bacterial small subunit ribosomal RNA", at positions 28 to 507 of the family's 1533-position model. The record is from RNAcentral.
GACGAACGCUGGCGGCGUGCUUAACACAUGCAAGUCGAACGAAGAGCGAUGGAAGCUUGCUUCUAUCAAUCUUAGUGGCGAGCGGGUGAGUAACGCGUAAUCAACCUGCCCUUCAGAGGGGGACAACAGUUGGAAACGACUGCUAAUACCGCAUACGAUCUAAACUCGGCAUCGAGGAUAGAUGAAAGGUGGCCUCUACAUGUAAGCUAUCACUGAAGGAGGGGAUUGCGUCUGAUUAGCUAGUUGGAGGGGUAACGGCCCACCAAGGCGAUGAUCAGUAGCCGGUCUGAGAGGAUGAACGGCCACAUUGGGACUGAGACACGGCCCAGACGCCUACGGGAGGCAGCAGUGGGGAAUCUUCCGCAAUGGACGAAAGUCUGACGGAGCAACGCCGCGUGAGUGAUGACGGCCUUCGGGUUGUAAAGCUCUGUUAAUCGGGACGAAAGGCCUUCUUGCGAAUAGUGAGAAGGAUUGACGGUACCGGAAUAGAAAGCCACGGCUAACUACGUG